Molecule: unclassified non-coding RNA, 370 nt
Filed under: soil metagenome
Description: partial contains 5.8S ribosomal RNA, internal transcribed spacer 2, and large subunit ribosomal RNA
Rfam family: 5.8S ribosomal RNA (bases 1-121)
Source: RNAcentral
GAUGAAGAACGUAGCGAAAUGCGAUAAGUAAUGCGAAUUGUAGAAUUCCAGUGAGUCAUCGAAUCUUUGAACGCACAUUGCGCCCUUUGGUAUUCCGAAGGGCAUGCCUGUUCGAGCGUCAUUAUCACCCCUCAAGCCCCCGGCUUGGUGUUGGACGGCUUGGUGGAGACCCUUUUGUGGCCCACCCCUCCCAAAGACAAUGACGGCGGCCUCGUUGGACCCCCGGUACACUGAGUUCUUCACGGGACACGUAUCGGACACACGGGUUUACGGGUCACGGUCUGCCUCCCCUCAGGGAGAACUUUUCUAAGGUUGACCUCGGAUCAGGUAGGGAUACCCGCUGAACUUAAGCAUAUCAAUAAGCGGAGGA